Sander lucioperca (pikeperch) is the source of this 418-nucleotide long non-coding RNA. RefSeq lists it as uncharacterized. The record is from RefSeq and is a predicted model, not a curated record. The transcript is spliced from 3 exons. Lineage: Eukaryota; Metazoa; Chordata; Actinopteri; Perciformes; Percidae.
UGAAAUUUGCUCUUUUUUGCUGCUUGUUGCUCUUAGGUGCCGCAACUGCAGAAGACAUAAAUAGCAGUCUCUCUGCUCCUAGCACCCCGAGGCUGAUUGCUUUUGGGGAUUCCAUUCUCGAGGCCAAUGGUUGGAUGCUCAACGUCGAUGGCAAGGUAAUCAUUGGACCCCAGGAGCUGCCAGACUUUGAUUCUGCUUUGGCAGCCCUAUUCAGCUGCUUCUACUCGUUCAACAUCCAAUGUCAGACGGAAGCAGAGAAUACUCUUGAGUUCAUUCAGAGAUUCAUUCUCAAGAUCAAUUCCGAAGGCUCAAAAUGCCAAUCAAGAACACAAAUUAGCCGACGGCCAGGAAAGGGUGCAACGAAAGAAUGCCAACCUCAACCCUGUUGGGGCUGCAUUUAUAAGAGAGCUGCUAGAUU